This 270-nucleotide long non-coding RNA is filed under the name Panicum hallii. RNAcentral describes it as "long non-coding RNA (PHAL_LNC000710)". Lineage: Eukaryota; Viridiplantae; Streptophyta; Magnoliopsida; Poales; Poaceae. The record is from RNAcentral.
GCAAGCCACCGUCGUCCUCGACCGCUCGCUGAAUGGCUUCCUUGCUACCCUGUUAGAUUAAUCGGGGCUAGGGGCCUAAUUAGACACGGUCAAUAAAUCUCAAGAUCUAUGAGUAAGUGAUAAUUGAUUUGCCGCUUUCAAAACGAGUAGUAAUUGACUUUUAAUCGCUGCGAGUUACUAUCUUUUGUGGCAUUAACUUGAACGUUCAAGGGAUGUCUCUGUUGCCUAUAAAAGAGGAGCUAUUCUCUUAUUUUCUAUGAUAUAUUAUAC